UCUGGUACUUUCAGUGCCCGAGUUGUAAUUUGUAGAAUUUGUCUUUGAUUAGGUCCUUGUCUAUGUUCCUUGGAACAGGACGUCAUAGAGGGUGAGAAUCCCGUUUGGCGAGGAUACCUUUUCUCUGUAAGACUUUUUCGAAGAGUCGAGUUGUUUGGGAAUGCAGCUCAAAGUGGGUGGUAAAUUCCAUCUAAAGCUAAAUAUUGGCGAGAGACCGAUAGCGAACAAGUACAGUGAUGGAAAGAUGAAAAGAACUUUGAAAAGAGAGUGAAAAAGUACGUGAAAUUGUUGAAAGGGAAGGGCAUUUGAUCAGACAUGGUGUUUUUUGCAUGCACUCGCCUCUCGUGGGCUUGGGCCUCUCAAAAAUUUCACUGGGCCAACAUCAAUUCUGGCAGUAGGAUAAAUCAUUAAGAAUGUAGCUACCUCGGUAGUGUUAUAGCUUAUUGGAAUACUGCUAGCUGGGAUUGAGGACUGCGCUUCGGCAAGGAUGUUGGCAUAAUGGUUAAAUGCCGCCCGUCUUG
This 521-nucleotide ribosomal RNA is filed under the name Pichia fermentans. RNAcentral's name for it is "eukaryotic LSU rRNA". It matches the Rfam family "Eukaryotic large subunit ribosomal RNA", at positions 121 to 656 of the family's 3401-position model. The record is from RNAcentral. Lineage: Eukaryota; Fungi; Ascomycota; Pichiomycetes; Pichiales; Pichiaceae.